RNAcentral lists this ribosomal RNA (510 nucleotides) under uncultured bacterium. Its description in RNAcentral is "partial 16S ribosomal RNA". It matches the Rfam family "Bacterial small subunit ribosomal RNA", at positions 28 to 507 of the family's 1533-position model. The record is from RNAcentral.
GACGAACGCUGGCGGCGUGCUUAACACAUGCAAGUCGAACGAAGAGCGAUGGAAGCUUGCUUCUAUCAAUCUUAGUGGCGAACGGGUGAGUAACGCGUAAUCAACCUGCCCUUCAGAGGGGGACAACAGUUGGAAACGACUGCUAAUACCGCAUACGAUCUAAUCUCGGCAUCGAGGAUAGAUGAAAGGUGGCCUCUACAUGUAAGCUAUCACUGAAGGAGGGGAUUGCGUCUGAUUAGCUAGUUGGAGGGGUAACGGCCCACCAAGGCGAUGAUCAGUAGCCGGUCUGAGAGGAUGAACGGCCACAUUGGGACUGAGACACGGCCCAGACUCCUACGGGAGGCAGCAGUGGGGAAUCUUCCGCAAUGGACGAAAGUCUGACGGAGCAACGCCGCGUGAGCGAUGACGGCCUUCGGGUUGUAAAGCUCUGUUAAUCGGGACGAAAGGCCUUCUUGCGAAUAGUGAGAAGGAUUGACGGUACCGGAAUAGGAAGCCACGGCUAACUACGUG